GAUGAACGCUGGCGGCGUGCCUAAUACAUGCAAGUCGAACGCUUCACUUCGGUGAAGAGUGGCGAACGGGUGAGUAAUACAUAAGUAACCUGGCAUCUACAGGGGGAUAACUGAUGGAAACGUCAGCUAAGACCGCAUAGGUGUAGAGAUCGCAUGAACUCUAUAUGAAAAGUGCUACGGGACUGGUAGAUGAUGGACUUAUGGCGCAUUAGCUGGUUGGUAGGGUAACGGCCUACCAAGGCGACGAUGCGUAGCCGACCUGAGAGGGUGACCGGCCACACUGGGACUGAGACACGGCCCAGACUCCUACGGGAGGCAGCAGUUGGGAAUUUUCGGCAAUGGGGGAAACCCUGACCGAGCAACGCCGCGUGAAGGAAGAAGUAAUUCGUUAUGUAAACUUCUGUCAUAGAGGAAGAACGGUGGAUAUAGGGAAUGAUUUCCAAGUGACGGUACUCUAUAAGAAAGCCACGGCUAACUACGUGCCAGCCGCCGCCGUAA
Molecule: ribosomal RNA, 498 nt
Filed under: uncultured bacterium
Lineage: Bacteria
Description: partial 16S ribosomal RNA
Rfam family: Bacterial small subunit ribosomal RNA
Source: RNAcentral